Molecule: long non-coding RNA, 410 nt
Organism: Talpa occidentalis (Iberian mole)
Lineage: Eukaryota; Metazoa; Chordata; Mammalia; Eulipotyphla; Talpidae
Exons: 3
Source: RefSeq, a predicted model, not a curated record
AUCACGGACUCUCUCUAGCCCACUCCCAGAGGCAUCAAUCUUCUCCACCUUCCGCAGUACGUUCUCAAACUGCCCACAAGGUCAAUAGGACGUGUGUGUGCCUCACAGCAGCCAGCAGUGACUGGAGGUUCAUCUGUGUUCUGCCUCAUCACCCUUCUCUUUCGAGGGACUAACUGACUCUCAGGACUCUAAGAACCACGCGUGUCUGGAACCUCCGAGUGUCAGGAUCUUAGUUCCCAGCCGGUGGGGAAAUUACAAACCUGCUCUCCAUUGAACAGAGGGAAGAUUCUAAAGUCAACGAUGACAACCAGCUCUCAAACAUAGCCUGGGUUUAUUGACUUAGAAUGAAUCACCUGUGCUGCAGCCCCUUGCGUCAAGGAGCUUAUCUGAAUGGGUUCAUCUCCAAGUAG